Molecule: long non-coding RNA, 613 nt
Organism: Mytilus californianus (California mussel)
Lineage: Eukaryota; Metazoa; Mollusca; Bivalvia; Mytilida; Mytilidae
Exons: 2
Source: RefSeq, a predicted model, not a curated record
AUUCCCAAUACUAUAAAUAUGUCUUAUAUGUGUGUCACGUGCGUUUAAUUAUAUGACCUGAAAAACAUCAAACACAAUUAUACCGAGUAUUCCGGGGGAAUAAACUAGGAGAUACACAUACAUUUCUACCGUGUUUUAACUUUAUCUACAUAGAAGAUGAGUGAUCAAAACAUUGGAGGCUGGACAUCGAAUGAUGUUUGGUAUUUAACAAAGAAAUACGGAGGACCAGUCGUAGCAGGGGCAUGUGUAGUAGGUGCAGUACCCGUUGUACUUUAUGCAUUUGGCUUUACCGGGUGUGGUAUAGCAGCUGGGACAUUGGCACCUAAAGUUAUGGCUUGGUCAGCCGUUGCCAACGGUGGAGGCGUAGCUUCUGGUGGAGUUGUCGCCACACUUCAAUCUGCGGGAGCUGCUGGAUUUGGUCUUGGUACAAAGUUUGCAAUCGGUACAACUGCUGGUGGAAUUUUCAGCUAUGUUUUCAGAAGUCGCGCAGAAAAGGACGUUGAUUGCAUGAAAAAAAAAUAAUAAUCUGAUAUGUUGUGUCACAUGCUAUAGAUAUAUCAUGUUAUGGCAAUAAAGAUUUGAAUUGAAUUGAAUUAAAGAUAACCAGUGUUUU